CUUUAAGAAUCCAUUAAAAAUAACUAAAUAAAAUCUCAAAUAUUGGGAUUUUAAAUUGCUACUAGAAAAGACAUCUUAGGGUUUAAUCAUGGUUGGACCAGCACCUGUGAAGACCUACUAGAAUUUUAGAUUCAUGAUUAGCAGUUUUCAGGAUUUUUAGACCCAUGGCUAAAACAUAUUUGUUUUGUAUUUUUGAAGACUUACUUCUGUUGAGUGACUUUCAAGUAUUUGAAUUCACUUGGGAAAAUAUUUCCAUGGCAGCAAACAAGGCCGCAUUUCAGAUUUCCUGCUCUUCUAUCAGCUUCAGGCUGCUCCAGGGCCUUGCGUCCAAGGUGGAGUUCCCAGUAAAAGUUUCUAGGUGCAAACCAGUGCGAGUGCGAGGGGCCUGCCCGCAACUACCGAGACCUGCUUUGUUCGAGGCCCUGGUUUCCACUCAGCACCUCCUUGGAGCCUGCGCUUCAAUCAUUUACAGAUUUCAGCUCCCAGAUUAGAUCACCGCAUUGAAUUUCUCCAUAGAGUACAUCUUCCCUCCAGUGAGUAAACUUUGGGGAAAUUUUUUAAACAUAAUUUAAGAAAAAUAGUUCAGCUUGAGCUGGAGGCAGGAAAAAUGAAAAGACCAGGCAGCUCGUGUAGGUUACUCAGAGAAAAAAAUGGACUCAAAGAGUUACUUAAUUUUUUAAACCCUAUCUCUAGGAAGUUAUUUACACAAAUCCAAACAUAUUCUACCAUCUGUCCUUAACCUUGACCCCCACUUAAUAACAUUUCUUGCUAUCUUAGCAUAUUACAGAAAAUUCCAUUUUAUUCUUUUUAAUGGCUGCAUAGUAUUCCAUUGUGUGAUUAUGUCCCAUUUGUGUGCCCUCAUUUUGACACACAAAACCAGCUGACAGUUGUCAGUCAUAUGAUGUACCUUAGAGGGUCAUAAAGUAGUAUAUAACUAGAAUUUUGAAUUAGGAAAUACCACUGUUUAUAAGUUAGGAACUCAGGUUUAUAAAAUGUAUAUGCUUAUUCAGGAUAAAUGUAUCAGUUAUUAAAUACAAUAUUAACUUAGGCAAGAGAAUUAAUUC
Long non-coding RNA from Myotis brandtii (Brandt's bat), 1064 nucleotides. RefSeq lists it as uncharacterized. The record is from RefSeq and is a predicted model, not a curated record. The transcript is spliced from 2 exons. NCBI's taxonomy places the organism in Eukaryota, Metazoa, Chordata, Mammalia, Chiroptera, Vespertilionidae.